AGAGUUUGAUCAUGGCUCAGAUUGAACGCUGGCGGAAUGCUUUACACAUGCAAGUCGAACGAUGAUUUCUAGCUUGCUAGAAUGAUUAGUGGCGAACGGGUGAGUAAUGCUUAGGAAUCUGCCUAUUAGUGGGGGACAACAUUCCGAAAGGAAUGCUAAUACCGCAUACGAUCUACGGAUGAAAGUGGGGGAUCGCAAGACCUCAUGCUCAUGGAGCGGCCGAUAUCUGAUUAGCUAGUUGGUAGGGUAAAAGCCUACCAAGGCUACGAUCAGUAGCUGGUCUGAGAGGACGACCAGCCACACUGGGACUGAGACACGGCCCAGACUCCUACGGGAGGCAGCAGUGGGGAAUUUUGGACAAUGGGGGAAACCCUGAUCCAGCAAUGCCGCGUGUGCGAAGAAGGCCUUCGGGUUGUAAAGCACUUUUGUCAGGGAAGAAAUCCUUUGGGCUAAUACCCUAGGGGGAUGACGGUACCUGAAGAAUAAGCACCGGCUAACUACGUGCCAGCAGCCGCGGUAAUACGUAGGGUGCAAGCGUUAAUCGGAAUUACUGGGCGUAAAGCGUGCGCAGGCGGUUGUGUAAGACAGAUGUGAAAUCCCCGGGCUCAACCUGGGAACUGCAUUUGUGACUGUAUAGCUAGAGUACGGCAGAGGGGGAUGGAAUUCCGCGUGUAGCAGUGAAAUGCGUAGAUAUGCGGAGGAACACCGAUGGCGAAGGCAAUCCCCUGGGCCUGUACUGACGCUCAUGCACGAAAGCGU
RNAcentral lists this ribosomal RNA (759 nucleotides) under uncultured Pseudomonadota bacterium. RNAcentral describes it as "bacterial SSU rRNA". It matches the Rfam family "Bacterial small subunit ribosomal RNA", at positions 8 to 762 of the family's 1533-position model. Lineage: Bacteria; Pseudomonadati; Pseudomonadota. The record is from RNAcentral.